Molecule: ribosomal RNA, 253 nt
Filed under: uncultured bacterium
Lineage: Bacteria
Description: partial 16S ribosomal RNA
Rfam family: Bacterial small subunit ribosomal RNA
Source: RNAcentral
UACGUAGGGGGCAAGCGUUGUCCGGAUUUAUUGGGCGUAAAGCGCGCGUAGGCGGCGCGGUAUGUCGUGCGUGAAAUCUCCCGGCUUAACUGGGAGGGGCCGUGCGAAACUGCCGGGCUUGAGGUCGGAAGGGGAAAGUGGAAUUCCGGGUGUAGUGGUGGAAUACGUAGAUAUCCGGAGGAACACCAGCGGCGAAGGCGGCUUUCUGGUCCGAUACUGACGCUGAGGUGUGAAAGCGUGGGGAGCGAUCCGG